RNAcentral lists this transfer RNA (74 nucleotides) under Bradyrhizobium frederickii. Its description in RNAcentral is "Bradyrhizobium sp. CNPSo 3426 tRNA-Ser". It matches the Rfam family "tRNA". From Rfam's summary of the family: Transfer RNA (tRNA) molecules are approximately 80 nucleotides in length. Their secondary structure includes four short double-helical elements and three loops (D, anti-codon, and T loops). Lineage: Bacteria; Pseudomonadati; Pseudomonadota; Alphaproteobacteria; Hyphomicrobiales; Nitrobacteraceae. The record is from RNAcentral.
GCACCGGUAGCUCAGCUGGAUAGAGCGCCUGGUUGCUACCCGGGGGGUCGCUGGUUCGAGCCCAGCCCGGUGCA